ACUCUUWAUUUAAAAGACAGUAGUUAGACUCUACUAUUAAGGA
RNAcentral lists this transfer RNA (43 nucleotides) under Diadema sp. DSM8. Its description in RNAcentral is "partial tRNA-Lys". Lineage: Eukaryota; Metazoa; Echinodermata; Echinoidea; Diadematoida; Diadematidae. The record is from RNAcentral.